This 483-nucleotide ribosomal RNA is filed under the name uncultured bacterium. Its description in RNAcentral is "partial 16S ribosomal RNA". It matches the Rfam family "Bacterial small subunit ribosomal RNA", at positions 30 to 506 of the family's 1533-position model. The record is from RNAcentral.
AUUGAACGCUGGCGGCAUGCCUUACACAUGCAAGUCGAACGGCAGCGCGGACUUCGGUCUGGCGGCGAGUGGCGAACGGGUGAGUAAUACAUCGGAACGUACCCUGUUGUGGGGGAUAACUAGUCGAAAGAUUAGCUAAUACCGCAUACGACCUGAGGGUGAAAGUGGGGGACCGCAAGGCCUCACGCAGCAGGAGCGGCCGAUGUCUGAUUAGCUAGUUGGUGGGGUAAAGGCCCACCAAGGCGACGAUCAGUAGCUAGUCUGAGGGGGCGAUCAGCCACACUGGGACUGAGACACGGCCCAGACUCCUACGGGAGGCAGCAGUGGGGAAUUUUGGACAAUGGGGGCAACCCUGAUCCAGCAAUGCCGCGUGUGUGAAGAAGGCCUUCGGGUUGUAAAGCACUUUUGUCCGGAAAGAAAUCGCGCUGGUUAAUACCUGGCGUGGAUGACGGUACCGGAAGAAUAAGCACCGGCUAACUACGU